AUACGGAGGGUGCAAGCGUUGUCCGGAUUUAUUGGGGUUAAAGGGUGCGUAGGCGGACUUGUAAGUCAGUGGUGAAAUACUUCAGCUUAACUGGAGAGGUGCCAUAGAAACUGCAGGUCUUGAGUGAAAUCGAAGUAGGCGGAAUUGAUGGUGUAGCGGUGAAAUGCAUAGAUAUCAUCAAGAACACCGAUAGCGAAGGCAGCUUACUUGGUUUCAACUGACGCUAAUGCACGAAAGCGUGGGGAGCGAACAGGAUUAGAAACCCGAGUAGUCC
This 274-nucleotide ribosomal RNA is filed under the name uncultured bacterium. RNAcentral describes it as "partial 16S ribosomal RNA". It matches the Rfam family "Bacterial small subunit ribosomal RNA", at positions 523 to 796 of the family's 1533-position model. The record is from RNAcentral.